UCCGCCUUGGAGGCGGCAGUCUCCUAUGAAAAAACAACAUAGGAUGAGGGUUGCGCUCGUUUGCUGACUUAACAGUACACCUCAAGGCACGAGCUGACGACGACCGUGCAGCGCCUGUCACCGAGUUCCUUGCGGCACUUCCUCCUUUCGGAGGUGUUCUCGGGAUGUCAAACCUGGGUGAGGUUCUCCGCUUAUUAUCGAAUUAAACCCCAUGCUCCACCGCUUGUGUGGGUCCCCGUCUAUUCCUUUGAGUUUUAGCCUUGCGGCCGUACUUCCCAGGCGGUGUGCUUACCGCGUUAGCUUAAGGCACGGAAACAGAUUGAAUGUUCCCACACCGAGCACACAUCGUUUAGGGCGUGGACUAC
This 365-nucleotide unclassified non-coding RNA is filed under the name uncultured bacterium. Its description in RNAcentral is "contains 16S-23S intergenic spacer region". The record is from RNAcentral.